RNAcentral lists this ribosomal RNA (468 nucleotides) under uncultured bacterium. Its description in RNAcentral is "partial 16S ribosomal RNA". It matches the Rfam family "Bacterial small subunit ribosomal RNA", at positions 329 to 793 of the family's 1533-position model. The record is from RNAcentral.
GUCCAGACUCCUACGGGAGGCAGCAGUGAGGAAUAUUGGUCAAUGGGCUUACGCCUGAACCAGCCAAGUCGCGUGAGGGAAGACUGCCCUAUGGGUUGUAAACCUCUUUUGUCAGGGAGCAACGCCGGCUACGUGUAGCCGGACUGAGAGUACCUGAAGAAAAAGCAUCGGCUAACUCCGUGCCAGCAGCCGCGGUAAUACGGAGGAUGCGAGCGUUAUCCGGAUUUACUGGGUGUAAAGGGAGCGUAGACGGCGGCGCAAGUCCGGAGUGAAAGCCCACGGCCCAACCGUGGGACUGCUCUGGAAACUGUGCGGCUUGAGUGCGGGAGGGGCAGGCGGAAUUCCUAGUGUAGCGGUGAAAUGCGUAGAUAUUAGGAGGAACACCGGCGGCGAAGGCGACUUUCUGGACUGUACCUGACGCUGAGGCGCGAAAGCAUGGGGAGCGAACAGGAUUAGAUACCCUUGUAA